This 404-nucleotide ribosomal RNA is filed under the name uncultured archaeon. Its description in RNAcentral is "SSU rRNA". It matches the Rfam family "Archaeal small subunit ribosomal RNA", at positions 17 to 429 of the family's 1478-position model. The record is from RNAcentral.
GCGGAGGCCACUGCUAUCGGGGUUCGAUUUAGCCAUGCGAGUCGAGAGGGUUCGGCCCUCGGCGUACUGCUCAGUAACACGUGGACAACCUGCCCUAAGGUGAGGGAUAACCCCGGGAAACUGGGGAUAAUACCUCAUAAUCUACAGAUGCUGGAAUGCCCUGUAGGUAAAAGGUCAGCCGCCUUAGGAUGGGUCUGCGGCCGAUUAGGUAGUUGUUGGGGUAAUGGCCCAACAAGCCUGUAAUCGGUACGGGUUGUGGGAGCAAGAGCCCGGAGAUGGAUUCUGAGACAAGAAUCCAGGCCCUACGGGGCGCAGCAGGCGCGGAAACUUUACAAUGCAGGAAACUGUGAUAAGGGAACCCCGAGUGCCCGUAUGGACGGGCUGUUCAGGUGCGUAAAAAACAC